UUUCCGUAGGUGAACCUGCGGAAGGAUCAUUAUUGUAUAACCGAGUUUCGAGGGCUUUCUCUGACCCGAACGCUCUUCCACUCCCCUAUCCCCUCCCACCCAUCCAUCUCACCCCCAUGUUCACCCCCGCGUUUCUCCCCCUUUUGCUUGUUCUGUCUUGGGCUUACGUUUUCACACAAACUUUGUAUGCACUGUAGAAUCUAUUUUUUGUUUUUUCGUUCACGCUAUCUAUACAACUUUCAACAACGCAUCUCUUGUCUCUCGCAUCUAUACAGAACC
Molecule: unclassified non-coding RNA, 279 nt
Filed under: plant metagenome
Description: partial contains small subunit ribosomal RNA, internal transcribed spacer 1, and 5.8S ribosomal RNA
Source: RNAcentral